This is a long non-coding RNA of Xenopus laevis (African clawed frog), 1056 nucleotides long. RefSeq lists it as uncharacterized. The record is from RefSeq and is a predicted model, not a curated record. The transcript has 3 exons. Lineage: Eukaryota; Metazoa; Chordata; Amphibia; Anura; Pipidae.
UUACUUAGACAGGGCUUUAGAUAUUUUGAAAUUGGCCUCAGGUGUGCACCCACAAUCCCCCUUUUUUUGUAUUUGUAUUUGUUGGAAGCUGUGGCUAAGCUUUAUGUGGUUUGUUGCACCCUCAUCUCCACCCUUUAGAUUUUUGGUGGUCCUAUUGUCCUUUUAAAAUUGUGCCUUGGUUUGUGCAAUCUCUCUCUCUUAAAAACCGCAAAUGCUAGCGGCAUGGGAGGAUCUAGCCAUGAAAAAAACAACGUCCCAUGAGACACUUCUGCACAGACACACACAUUACUUCCAUCAUGAUUCCUCAUUUAGUUUCCCUUUCACAUACAUCCACACUAUAUACAACCCAUAAUGAUUCCACAAACACAUACACACACACAUUCCCCUUUCACCACUAUACACACUCCCACACUCCACAAAUACACACCAAUGUGUAACUGCACCUAUCGUACCACUUUGUUUUUAAUCACACCCUAUUAUCACAUUUUUUCAAAAAUGGGCGUUGGUUUGGACAGUCUCUCCCUCUUAAAAGCCACAUCAGCAAUUGGUGGGGGAGGAUUUAGCUCACAGUUUGAAACCAAGGAACAGGAGAUGUUCAUACAAAGUAAUUCUAUUAAGCAGAGAGGCAUGGAUUCGCAGCACAUUUCGCUGGGCGCAAAUGAUUUUGCAAAACUGCCUCGAAAAUUCACCAGCGGAAAAUCCGUGUAAGGAAUCAUCCCUCUGACAAGAUGUCCAGCAGAAUCCCUACUGUUCAUGAGGCCCAUGGAGAAAGUAAACUGCCUUAAUCCAAAAAGGUUGAUAGACAACUUUCAUGCUCUUUGUUGUUAAAUGGCAGUGACCAGUAGAUUGACAAGAGCGUCCGGGCCUUUGAGCGGUGAUUCCUCUGGAAGCUGGGACCAUAGGCCUCAAAAAUAAAUACAUCAAAAUGAAGAAAGCCUUUGAUUAACUUCUCAGACAGAAAAGAUCCAUCUUCUAACAAAACUUUAUCGAAAAAUUAAUUGUUCAUUGUUAUUGUUAAUAAUUCACUUAAAAAAAGAAAUAAAACAAUCAGACCUU